RNAcentral lists this ribosomal RNA (468 nucleotides) under uncultured bacterium. RNAcentral describes it as "partial 16S ribosomal RNA". It matches the Rfam family "Bacterial small subunit ribosomal RNA", at positions 28 to 507 of the family's 1533-position model. The record is from RNAcentral.
GACGAACGCUGGCGGCGUGCUUAACACAUGCAAGUCGAACGGAAAGGCCCUGCUUUUGUGGGGUGCUCGAGUGGCGAACGGGUGAGUAACACGUGAGUAACCUGCCCUUGACUUUGGGAUAACUUCAGGAAACUGGGGCUAAUACCGGAUAGGAGCUCCUGCUGCAUGGUGGGGGUUGGAAAGUUUCGGCGGUUGGGGAUGGAUUCGCGGCUUAUCAGCUUGUUGGUGGGGUAGUGGCGUACCAAGGCUUUGACGGGUAGCCGGCCUGAGAGGGUGACCGGCCACAUUGGGACUGAGAUACGGCCCAGACUCCUACGGGAGGCAGCAGUGGGGAACAUUGCACAAUGGGCGGAAGCCUGAUGCAGCAACGCCGCGUGCGGGAUGACGGCCUUCGGGUUGUAAACCGCUUUCGCCUGUGACGAAGCGUGGGUGACGGUAAUGGGUAAAGAAGCACCGGCUAACUACGUG